GAUGAACGCUAGCGGGAGGCUUAACACAUGCAAGUCGAGGGGCAGCACGAGGUAGCAAUACUUUGGUGGCGACCGGCGCACGGGUGAGUAACGCGUAUGUAACCUACCCUGUACAGGGGGAUAGCCCGGAGAAAUUCGGAUUAAUACCCCAUAAAGAUAUUGAGAGGCAUCUUUUAAUAUUUAAAGUUUCGACGGUACGGGAUGGGCAUGCGUGACAUUAGCUAGUUGGUAGGGUAACGGCCUACCAAGGCUGCGAUGUCUAGGGGUCCUGAGAGGGUGAUCCCCCACACUGGUACUGAGACACGGACCAGACUCCUACGGGAGGCAGCAGUGAGGAAUAUUGGUCAAUGGGCGCAAGCCUGAACCAGCCAUCCCGCGUGCAGGAAGAAGGCGCUAUGCGUCGUAAACUGCUUUUCCAGGGGAAGAAAACCUGAUACGUGUAUCGGCUUGCCGGUACCCUGGGAAUAAGCAUCGGCUAACUCCGUGCCAGCAGCCGCGGU
Molecule: ribosomal RNA, 500 nt
Filed under: uncultured bacterium
Lineage: Bacteria
Description: bacterial SSU rRNA
Rfam family: Bacterial small subunit ribosomal RNA
Source: RNAcentral